GAUGGAGCAGUGGUGCGCUCCUGUAAUCCCAGCAACUUGGGAGACUGAGACAGGGGAAUUGCGAGUUCAAAGCCAGCCUCAGCAAAAGUGAGGCACUAAGCAACUCAGUGAGACCCUGUCUCUA
This 124-nucleotide small RNA is filed under the name Marmota monax (woodchuck). Lineage: Eukaryota; Metazoa; Chordata; Mammalia; Rodentia; Sciuridae. The record is from RNAcentral.